Molecule: unclassified non-coding RNA, 384 nt
Filed under: Basidiomycota sp.
Lineage: Eukaryota; Fungi; Basidiomycota
Description: partial contains small subunit ribosomal RNA, internal transcribed spacer 1, and 5.8S ribosomal RNA
Rfam family: Eukaryotic small subunit ribosomal RNA (bases 1-47)
Source: RNAcentral
AAAGUCGUAACAAGGUCUCCGUAGGUGAACCUGCGGAGGGAUCAUUAACACGUUUCCAAAAAACGUUUACCAACCAAAUCAACGUGAACCAAAACCAACUCCCUUGUCAAUGUGACGAACGAAUAAUCAUCAGGGUGGAGUGCGGCGAAAGCUAGGGGCCCUCGAGGCUCCAAUCCAUUGGCAAGUGUCCUUGCGACCACCUGGCAGUCUACAUUCGUGUAGCGUUCUGCCGAAUUUUGUUUAACCCAAUAUUUUUAACCCCUUUCACAACAUACUAAUAACUGAACCAUUUUUUUUCUGCAUCGUCCGUCUUCGGAUGUGAUGAUGUGAAAAAAAGAUAUACGUAAUGCUGAACAACUCUUAGCAAUGGAUAUCUUGGUUCUC